Erinaceus europaeus (western European hedgehog) is the source of this 314-nucleotide unclassified non-coding RNA. Its record names the gene 7SK. It matches the Rfam family "7SK RNA". From Rfam's summary of the family: 7SK was discovered as an abundant small nuclear RNA in the mid-70s but a possible function has only recently been suggested. The record is from Ensembl. Lineage: Eukaryota; Metazoa; Chordata; Mammalia; Eulipotyphla; Erinaceidae.
GGCUAUGAGGUCGAUCUGGCUGUGACAUCUGUCACCCCAUUGAUCCCCAGGGCUGAUUCAGCUGAUCUGCCUACUGGGUGGGUGUCCCCUUCCCCUCUCAUUGCUCCAUGUGCGUCCCUCCUGAAGCUGACCACUAGGUCAAAGAGGACGGCCUCCCCAGAAUAGAGACGGACUGGUCUUCGGUUUGUGGAGGGUAUAGAGUAGCUGCGCUCCCCUGCUAGAACCUCCAAACAAGCUUCCUAUGGUCUUGUCAAUGUUUUCAUUUUAUAAAUAAAAUAACAACAACAAUAAUAAAACACUCCUUGUUAGUCAUU